Non-coding RNA from Cathartes aura (turkey vulture), 73 nucleotides. Lineage: Eukaryota; Metazoa; Chordata; Aves; Accipitriformes; Cathartidae. The record is from Rfam.
GUUUCAGUAGUGUAGUGAUUAUCACAUUCACCUAACACGCAAAAGGUCCUGGGUUCGAAACCAGGCGGAAACA